GCGGCUUAAUAAGUCAGUGGUGAAAGCCCUACGCUUACCGUAGGAACGGCCAUUGAUACUGUUAGGCUUGAAUUAUUAGGAAGUAACUAGAAUAUGUAGUGUAGCGGUGAAAUGCUUAGAGAUUACAUGGAAUACCAAUUGCGAAGGCAGGUUACUACUAAUGGAUUGACGCUGAUGGACGAAAGCGUGGGUAGCGAACAGGAUUAGAUACCCUGGUAGUCCACGCCGUAAACGAUGGAUACUAGCUGUUGGGAGCAAUCUCAGUGGCUAAGCGAAAGUGAUAAGUAUCCCACCUGGGGAGUACGUUCGCAAGAAUGAAACUCAAAGGAAUUGACGGGGGCCCGCACAAGCGGUGGAGCAUGUGGUUUAAUUCGAUGAUACGCGAGGAACCUUACCAAGGCUUAAAUGUAGAUUGACCGUUUUGGAAACAGAACUUUCGCAAGACAAUUUACAAGGUGCUGCAUGGUUGUCGUCAGCUCGUGCCGUGAGGUGUCAGGUUAAGUCCUAUAACGAGCGCAACCCCUGUUGUUAGUUGCCAGCGAGUCAAGUCGGGAACUCUAACAAGACUGCCAGUGCAAACUGUGAGGAAGGUGGGGAUGACGUCAAAUCAUCACGGCCCUUACGCCUUUGGGCUACACACGUGCUACAAUGGACGGUACA
Molecule: ribosomal RNA, 660 nt
Filed under: uncultured bacterium
Lineage: Bacteria
Description: bacterial SSU rRNA
Rfam family: Bacterial small subunit ribosomal RNA
Source: RNAcentral